This 501-nucleotide ribosomal RNA is filed under the name uncultured bacterium. Its description in RNAcentral is "partial 16S ribosomal RNA". It matches the Rfam family "Bacterial small subunit ribosomal RNA", at positions 30 to 523 of the family's 1533-position model. The record is from RNAcentral.
AUUGAACGCUGGCGGCAUGCCUUACACAUGCAAGUCGAACGGCAGCACGGGUGCUUGCACCUGGUGGCGAGUGGCGAACGGGUGAGUAAUAUAUCGGAACGUACCUUAUUGUGGGGGAUAACGCAGCGAAAGCUGUGCUAAUACCGCAUAAUCCCUAAGGGGGAAAGCGGGGGACCGUAAGGCCUCGCGCAAUUAGAGCGGCCGAUACCUGAUUAGCUAGUUGGUGAGGUAAAGGCUCACCAAGGCUACGAUCAGUAGCUGGUCUGAGAGGACGAUCAGCCACACUGGGACUGAGACACGGCCCAGACUCCUACGGGAGGCAGCAGUGGGGAAUUUUGGACAAUGGGGGCGACCCUGAUCCAGCAAUGCCGCGUGAGUGAAGAAGACCUUCGGGUUGUAAAGCUCUUUUGUCAGGGAAGAAACAGCAGCUCUAACACAGUUUGCGAAUGACGGUACCUGAAGAAUAAGCACCGGCUAACUACGUGCCAGCAGCCGCAGUAA